GCGAAAACGGUGAUGGGGAGCAGUAAGUGAUGUAACCCUUCAGAGAGCCGUUGGUUGGUGCAAAACGGUGGGCAAAAUCGCUGAAUCUCGCCCCGGAGUUGUUCGGCGGAAAUUUGUGUACUCCGAACCGGGUUUGCCCGUUAUAGCUUUUUCGAGUGGGUAGGUGCCAGACACUUGCCAACAGGGGUGGUACCGCGGGAGAAAACCUCUCGUCCCUUAU
RNAcentral lists this non-coding RNA (220 nucleotides) under Desulfotomaculum nigrificans. RNAcentral's name for it is "T-box sequence". It matches the Rfam family "T-box leader". Rfam says of the family: Uncharged tRNA acts as the effector for transcription antitermination of genes in the T-box leader family. The record is from RNAcentral. Lineage: Bacteria; Bacillati; Bacillota; Clostridia; Eubacteriales; Desulfotomaculaceae.